GAUGAACGCUGGCGGCGUGCCUAACACAUGCAAGUCGAGCGAACAGAUGAGGAGCUUGCUCCUCUGACGUUAGCGGCGGACGGGUGAGUAACACGUGGAUAACCUACCUAUAAGACUGGGAUAACUUCGGGAAACCGGAGCUAAUACCGGAUAAUAUAUUGAACCGCAUGGUUCAAUAGUGAAAGACGGUUUUGCUGUCACUUAUAGAUGGAUCCGCGCUGCAUUAGCUAAUUGGUAUGGUAACGGCUUACCAAGGCAACGAUGCGUAGCCGACCUGACAGGAGGGUCGGCCACACUAGAACGGAGACGCGGUCCGGACUCCUCCGGGACGCGGCAGAGGGGAAUGGUCCACAGUGGGCGAGAGCCUGGCGGGACCACGCCACGUCGGUGAUGAAGGUCUUCCGCUCGUAAUACUCUGUUAUUUGGGAAGAACAAAUGUGUAAGUAACUAUGCACGUCUUGACGGUACCUAAUCAAAAAGCCCCGGCUAACUACGUG
Molecule: ribosomal RNA, 497 nt
Filed under: uncultured bacterium
Lineage: Bacteria
Description: partial 16S ribosomal RNA
Rfam family: Bacterial small subunit ribosomal RNA
Source: RNAcentral